Molecule: ribosomal RNA, 460 nt
Filed under: uncultured bacterium
Lineage: Bacteria
Description: partial 16S ribosomal RNA
Rfam family: Bacterial small subunit ribosomal RNA
Source: RNAcentral
CCUACGGGUGGCAGCAGUGAGGAAUAUUGGUCAAUGGACGAGAGUCUGAACCAGCCAAGUAGCGUGAAGGAUGACUGCCCUAUGGGUUGUAAACUUCUUUUAUAUGGGAAUAAAAUGUUCCACGUGUGGGCUUUUGUAUGUACCAUAUGAAUAAGGAUCGGCUAACUCCGUGCCUGCAGCCGCGGUAAUACGGAGGAUCCGAGCGUUAUCCGGAUUUAUUGGGUUUAAAGGGAGCGUAGGUGGUUUGUUAAGUCAGUUGUGAAAGUUUGCGGCUCAACCGUAAAAUUGCAGUUGAAACUGGCAGUCUUGAGUACAGUAGAGGUGGGCGGAAUUCGUGGUGUAGCGGUGAAAUGCUUAGAGAUCACGAAGAACUCCGAUUGCGAAGGCAGCUCACUGGACUGCAACUGACACUGAGGCUCGAAAGUGUGGGUAUCAAACAGGAUUAGAUACCCGGGUAGUC